GCUAAGCACUUACAACUGUUUGCAGAGGAAACUGAGACUUUGUAACUACAUCUCAGUCUCAACUGCAAAGAAGUAAGUGCUUAGC
This is a non-coding RNA of Sus scrofa (pig), 85 nucleotides long. The record is from Rfam. NCBI's taxonomy places the organism in Eukaryota, Metazoa, Chordata, Mammalia, Artiodactyla, Suidae.